RNAcentral lists this ribosomal RNA (658 nucleotides) under uncultured bacterium. RNAcentral's name for it is "bacterial SSU rRNA". The stretch from base 1 to 552 matches the Rfam family "Bacterial small subunit ribosomal RNA", at positions 338 to 873 of the family's 1533-position model. The record is from RNAcentral.
CCUACGGGAGGCAGCAGUGGGGAAUAUUGGACAAUGGGCGAAAGCCUGAUCCAGCAAUUCCGCGUGUGUGAAGAAGGCCUUCGGGUUGUAAAGCACUUUAGUGGGGGAAGAAACAGCUUGGCCACACCAAGCCUUGACGGUACCCCAAGAAUAAGCACCGGCUAACUCUGUGCCAGCAGCCGCGGUAAUACAGAGGGUGCAAGCGUUAAUCGGAUUUACUGGGCGUAAAGGGUGCGUAGGUGGCUAUUUAAGUCGGAUGUGAAAGCCCGGGGCUCAACCUCGGAAUUGCAUUCGAUACUGAGUGGCUAGAGUUCGGUAGAGGGCGGCGGAAUUUCCGGUGUAGCGGUGAAAUGCGUAGAUAUCGGAAGGAACAUCAAUGGCGAAGGCAGCCGCCUGGGCCUGGACUGACACUGAGGCACGAAAGCGUGGGUAGCAAACAGGAUUUAGAUACCCUGGUAGUCCACGCCGUAAACGAUAGAGAACUAGUACGUUGGUUCGUUUUACGUUAACGUACGGUGUCGCACGACUAACGACGAGUAAGUUACUUCCGUCCGUCGGGUAGGGUACGGCCGGCCGAACGGUUAGGUAAACGUAACUAAAUAAGUAAGUUAGUUACGGUCGUUGAGACGUUGCCGACGGACGACGACGAGGGAGGAGG